UCACACACAGUUCCUCAAGGGACUGUUGUAGCACCGAUGGCUGGUUUAGUUGUUAAAGUUCUUGUGAGUGAUGGUUCAAGGGUUGAGCACGGCCAACCUGUUCUAGUCAUGGAGGCCAUGAAGAUGGAGGCAUGAACAUGCUCUCUUUCUCUCUCACACACACGCACACACACACACACGCACAUGUUCUCUCAUGCUAAGCUUACUUUUUAGUUCUGAGCAAGGCCAACCUGUUCUAGUCAUGGAGGCCAUGAAGAUGGAGGCAUGAACAUGCUCUUUCUCUCUCACACACACGCACACACACACGCACAUGUUCUCUCAUGCUAAGCUUAUUUUUUAGUUCUCUUCAUGUUUUGGUAUGCCACUGGUUUUGAUAGGAUAGAUUUUUUUUUUUUGCUCCCCAG
This 404-nucleotide long non-coding RNA is filed under the name Amborella trichopoda. RNAcentral's name for it is "long non-coding RNA (ATRI_LNC001906)". The record is from RNAcentral. Lineage: Eukaryota; Viridiplantae; Streptophyta; Magnoliopsida; Amborellales; Amborellaceae.